RNAcentral lists this ribosomal RNA (496 nucleotides) under uncultured soil bacterium. Its description in RNAcentral is "bacterial SSU rRNA". It matches the Rfam family "Bacterial small subunit ribosomal RNA", at positions 26 to 519 of the family's 1533-position model. The record is from RNAcentral.
AGAUUGAACGCUAGCGGGAUGCUUUACACAUGCAAGUCGAACGGUAACAGGCCGCAAGGUGCUGACGAGUGGCGAACGGGUGAGUAAUGCAUCGGAACGUGCCCAGUCGUGGGGGAUAACGCAGCGAAAGCUGUGCUAAUACCGCAUACGAUCUAUGGAUGAAAGCGGGGGACCAAAGGCCUCGCGCGAUUGGAGCGGCCGAUGUCAGAUUAGCUAGUUGGUGGGGUAAAGGCCCACCAAGGCGAGAUCUGUAGCUGGUCUGAGAGGACGACCAGCCACACUGGAACUGAGACACGGUCCAGACUCCGUACGGGAGCAGCAGUGGGGAAUUUUGGACAAUGGGCGCAAGCCUGAUCAGCAAUGCGCGUGCAGGAGAAGGCCUCGGGUUGUAAACUGUCUUUGUACGGAACGAAGCGGUACGUGGUUAAUACCGUCGGGCUAAGUGAACGGUUACCGUAAGGAAUAAGCACCGGCUAACUACGUGCCAGCAGCCGUA